Molecule: ribosomal RNA, 497 nt
Filed under: uncultured bacterium
Lineage: Bacteria
Description: partial 16S ribosomal RNA
Rfam family: Bacterial small subunit ribosomal RNA
Source: RNAcentral
GAUGAACGCUGGCGGCGUGCCUAAUACAUGCAAGUCGAGCGAACAGACGAGGAGCUUGCUCCUCUGACGUUAGCGGCGGACGGGUGAGUAACACGUGGAUAACCUACCUAUAAGACUGGGAUAACUUCGGGAAACCGGAGCUAAUACCGGAUAAUAUAUUGAACCGCAUGGUUCAAUAGUGAAAGACGGUUUUGCUGUCACUUAUAGAUGGAUCCGCGCCGCAUUAGCUAGUUGGUAAGGUAACGGCUUACCAAGGCAACGAUGCGUAGCCGAACUGAGAGGGUGAUCGGCCACACUAGAACUGAGACAGGGUCCAGACUCCUACGGGAGGGAGCAGUAGGGAAUCUUACGCAAUGGGCGAAAGCCUGACGGAGCAACGCCGCGUGAGUGAUGAAGGUCUUCGGAUCGUAAAACUCUGUUAUUAGGGAAGAACAAAUGUGUAAGUAAAUAUGCACGUCUUGACGGUACCUAAUCAGAAAGCCACGGCUAACUACGUG